Molecule: long non-coding RNA, 545 nt
Organism: Mus musculus (house mouse)
Lineage: Eukaryota; Metazoa; Chordata; Mammalia; Rodentia; Muridae
Product: predicted gene, 30676
Exons: 5
Source: RefSeq, a predicted model, not a curated record
GACAAUCCCAAUAGCUGUGGGGAGAUGGGAGGCCUUUAGCAUAGCCAUAAUUUGGUUUGCAUUAGUUACUGAUCCUCCUUUUGUGCCCCCAUGAUAUACCAUCUGCACCCGAUGAGCAGAUCCUUCACGGGAGCAACAGUGGUCGAUGCAUAAGGAAGUCAUGAGUCCUCCAGUCCUUGCCUUUACUCUGCGAACAGAAACAAAUCACGGAUUUCACAGAACUGUAGGCUCCCUUCUGGAAAACUGAGCUAACACUGCAGAUCAUAAAGAUCUCCCGAACCUUCUGCCUCACUCCUCCUGUUAUACCUGCCCUCAACUCCAGCACACUUUCUGGGAACUCACCACCCAAAGCCUAAUUGAGAAGCAAGAAGGCCAGCAAAGCAGGUCCAGGGUCCCACAAUCACAGCUCUAAAAGAUUCUCUGUGUGAAGUGUUUGAAGAAGUGGUGGACGUGACACUGAUCUUGGAGCCGCAUUCCCUGACUCUGUUAAGAUGGGCAAUGAAGAUAACCUCCGGUAAAGGAAGUACUAUGCAAGUCUGUUGCUA